AAGGCAUCUUUCCCACUCUCAACUCCUGGAAGUGUUCGAUUUGGACUCCUAAGACUGCAUUAUCCACCCAACAAAACCUGUCUGAGUCUUUCUCCCCUGGGUUACCUUAAUACCCUGGUUAAAAUCACAGAAAUAUAUACUCUGGUAUAAGGCAUCUUUCCCACUCUCAACUCCUGGAAGUGUUCGAUUUGGACUCCUAAGACUGCAUUAUCCACCCAACAAAACCUGUCUGAGUCUUUCUCCCCUGGGUUACCUUAAUACCCUGGUUAAAAUCACAGAAAUAUAUACUCUGGUAUAAGGCAUCUUUCCCACUCUCAACUCCUGGAAGUGUUCGAUUUGGACUCCUAAGACUGCAUUAUCCACCCAACA
This is a long non-coding RNA of Protopterus annectens (West African lungfish), 369 nucleotides long. RefSeq lists it as uncharacterized. The record is from RefSeq and is a predicted model, not a curated record. The transcript is spliced from 3 exons. Lineage: Eukaryota; Metazoa; Chordata; Ceratodontiformes; Protopteridae.